Molecule: long non-coding RNA, 1024 nt
Organism: Piliocolobus tephrosceles (Ugandan red Colobus)
Lineage: Eukaryota; Metazoa; Chordata; Mammalia; Primates; Cercopithecidae
Source: Ensembl
UCACAAAUUUAUUUAUGCUCGCGUAAUUUAAUCAUUUCCACAGCUGCUCAAAGCAAGUCAAAGUCGAGAAAGGACUUACAUCGUCGAGUCCAGUCCCCCUUAACUCCUCAUUCAUUCCACUAUUUCUCGAGCCAAGGAAUCGGGUGAAACCCAACACCGACUCGCAGUCUUCAGGUUUCACCCUCUUGCCCUGAGGGCAGCAUCCCAGCCCUGGGUGGUUCUCUGGUGUGGCCUCAGGAAACCGUGACGCGGUCCUCGGCCUUUUUGUCCCCAACAGGCUGCUGGCACACUUUGGGGUCUGAAAUGUCAUCUGCUUUGCCUAACCUGGGCAAGACCAUUCGCGUCCUUUCCCUUGAGGAGCAGCGUGGGGAAAGUUGCCGCUGCGCGCCACGUUUCUCCCACUUCCCCAGGGCUCCAGGGGGCGCUGGAGGCGGGCGGGGGUUAAUUCGCUGGCCGCCUGGCGUGGAGCAAUCCUAGAGAGUGGGCUCACCCUCGGGGCUCGGGAGGGGCUCUUCCCCGCCCAGAAGGAGACUGCGGCGGCGCAAGGCAUCCGGCAGGGGGCGCGGGCCGCUGGGCGUCCCCCCGGGCUGCGGGUCGGUGGUCCCUCCCAGGCCGCGUGUGCGGUGCGUUGGCUCAGCCCGCUCCCUGCCCCCACCUCACCUCGUCACCUCCCCGCCCUCUCGGCGGGCCCCUGAGGUGCGCGGCGCAGGCGCGGACCAAGGCGGCCAAGUCAGUGCGGCCGCGGAGCCUACGCCGGGGACCCGGCGCGCAGGGCGUGGGGCGCGCGGAGAGGGAGAAGGGUGGGCCCAACACAGCGUCCGGGAGCUCUAGGGCCGCAGCAGCGCUGCCCGCCACCGUGCGUCCGCGGGAAGGACCGCCCGGCCCCUCCGCCCGCGCUCCGGCACCUCGGCAGCCACCGCUUCUGAGCUGCGCGUGGGCCGGCCGGGCGGGCCCGAGGAGACUGACUGGCAUUUUUUACCAUCUACAGAAACUUAUUGUAAUUCAUUUUUCCUCACUCCAGUAG